AGUUGGUCCAAGUGCAGUGGUGUUUACAACUAAUUGAUCACAACCAGUUACAGAUUUCUUUGUUCCUUCUCCACUCCCACUGCUUCACUUGACUAGCCUUAA
Cavia aperea (Brazilian guinea pig) is the source of this 102-nucleotide unclassified non-coding RNA. It matches the Rfam family "Y RNA". Rfam says of the family: Y RNAs are components of the Ro ribonucleoprotein particle (Ro RNP), in association with Ro60 and La proteins. The Y RNAs and Ro60 and La proteins are well conserved, but the function of the Ro RNP is not known. In humans the RNA component can be one of four small RNAs -- hY1, hY3, hY4 and hY5. The record is from Ensembl. NCBI's taxonomy places the organism in Eukaryota, Metazoa, Chordata, Mammalia, Rodentia, Caviidae.